CAGCAGCCGCGGGAAUACGGAGGGUGCAAGCGUUAUCCGGAUUUAUUGGGUUUAAAGGGUCCGUAGGCGGAUCUGUAAGUCAGUGGUGAAAUCUCACAGCUUAACUGUGAAACUGCCAUUGAUACUGCAGGUCUUGAGUAAAUUUGAAGUGGCUGGAAUAAGUAGUGUAGCGGUAAAAUGCAUAGAUAUUACUUAGAACACCAAUUGCGAAGGCAGGUCACUAAGAUUUAACUGACGCUGAUGGACGAAAGCGUGGGGAGCGAACAGGAUUAGAUACCCCGGUAGUCCCUGUCUCUUAUAA
This 301-nucleotide ribosomal RNA is filed under the name uncultured bacterium. Its description in RNAcentral is "partial 16S ribosomal RNA". It matches the Rfam family "Bacterial small subunit ribosomal RNA", at positions 509 to 809 of the family's 1533-position model. The record is from RNAcentral.